AAGGUUUCCGUAGGUGGACCUGCGGAAGGAUCAUUAC
This 37-nucleotide ribosomal RNA is filed under the name Aspergillus flavus. Its description in RNAcentral is "partial 18S ribosomal RNA". The record is from RNAcentral. Lineage: Eukaryota; Fungi; Ascomycota; Eurotiomycetes; Eurotiales; Aspergillaceae.